RNAcentral lists this ribosomal RNA (1306 nucleotides) under uncultured bacterium. Its description in RNAcentral is "partial 16S ribosomal RNA". It matches the Rfam family "Bacterial small subunit ribosomal RNA", at positions 94 to 1399 of the family's 1533-position model. The record is from RNAcentral.
AGUGGCGGACGGGUGAGUAACGCGUGGGUAACCUGCCAUAUACAGGGGGAUAACACUUAGAAAUAGGUGCUAAUACCGCAUAAGCGCACGAUGCCGCAUGACAUCGUGUGAAAAACUCCGGUGGUAUAUGAUGGACCCGCGUCUGAUUAGCUGGUUGGUGGGGUAACGGCCUACCAAGGCGACGAUCAGUAGCCGGCCUGAGAGGGUGAACGGCCACAUUGGGACUGAGACACGGCCCAAACUCCUACGGGAGGCAGCAGCUAAGAAUAUUCCGCAAUGGAGGAAACUCUGACGGAGCGACGCCGCGUGGAUGAUGAAGGUCGGAAGAUUGUAAAAUCCUUUUAUGACUGAGGAAUAAGUACGUUGAGAGAAACGGCGUAUGGUGACUGUAGGUCAUGAAUAAGCAACGGCUAAUUACGUGCCAGCAGCCGCGGUAACACGUAAGUUGCGAGCGUUGUUCGGAAUUAUUGGGCGUAAAGGGCAUGUAGGCGGUAUUGCAAGCCUGGUGUGAAAGGCGGGGGCUCAACCCCUGGACUGCGCUGGGAACUGCAUUACUAGAGUCGCUGAGGGGCAAUCAGAAUUCCAGGUGUAGGGGUGAAAUCUGUAGAUAUCUGGAAGAAUACCAAUGGCGAAGGCAGGUUGCCAGCAGAUGACUGACGCUGAGGUGCGAAGGUGCGGGGAGCAAACAGGAUUAGAUACCCUGGUAGUCCGCACAGUCAACGAUGUACACUGGAUGUCUGGAAUAAAAUCUGGGUGUCGAAGCAAACGCGAUAAGUGUACCGCCUGGGGAGUAUGCCCGCAAGGGUGAAACUCAAAGGAAUUGACGGGGGCCCGCACAAGCGGUGGAGCAUGUGGUUUAAUUCGACGCAACGCGAAGAACCUUACCAGGAUUUGACAUCCAACUAACGAAGCAGGGAUGCAUUAGGUGCCCUUCGGGGAAAGUUGAGACAGGUGGUGCAUGGUUGUCGUCAGCUCGUGUCGUGAGAUGUUGGGUUAAGUCCCGCAACGAGCGCAACCCCUAUUGUUAGUUGCUACGAAAGAGCACUCUAGCGAGACUGCCGUUGACAAAACGGAGGAAGGCGGGGACGACGUCAAAUCAUCAUGCCCCUUAUGUCCUGGGCUACACACGUAAUACAAUGGUGGAAAACAGAGGGAAGCAAGACUGCGAAGUGGAGCAAAUCCCUAAAAGCCAUCUCAGUUCGGAUUGAAGGCUGCAACUCGCCUGCAUGAAGCUGGAAUUGCUAGUAAUCGCGGAUCAGCAUGCCGCGGUGAAUACGUAAGCGGGCCUUGCACUCACCGCCCGUCA